Oryza barthii is the source of this 204-nucleotide non-coding RNA. The record is from Rfam. NCBI's taxonomy places the organism in Eukaryota, Viridiplantae, Streptophyta, Magnoliopsida, Poales, Poaceae.
AAAAAGAUAAAUCAUAAGUUUUCGUGCCCAACGUUUGACUAUCCGUCCUAUAUAAAAUUUUCUAUAAUUAGUAUUUUCAUUAUUGUUAGAUGAUAAAACAUGAUUAAUAUUUUAUGCGUGACUUGUCUUUUUAAUUUUUUUAUAUUUUUUUAAAUAAGAUGGACGGUCAAACGUUGGAUACGGAAAUCCAAGGCUUGCCUUUUU